This 460-nucleotide ribosomal RNA is filed under the name uncultured bacterium. Its description in RNAcentral is "partial 16S ribosomal RNA". It matches the Rfam family "Bacterial small subunit ribosomal RNA", at positions 338 to 795 of the family's 1533-position model. The record is from RNAcentral.
CCUACGGGUGACAGCAGUGAGGAAUAUUGGUCAAUGGGCGAGAGCCUGAACCAGCCAAGUCGCGUGAGGGAGUACUGCCCUAUGGGUUGUAAACCUCUUUUGUCAGGGAGCAACGCCGGCUACGUGUAGCCGGACUGAGAGUACCUGAAGAAAAAGCAUCGGCUAAUUCCGUGCCAGCAGCCGCGGUAAUACGGAGGAUGCGAGCGUUAUCCGGAUUGAUUGGGUUGAAAGGGUGCGUAGGCGGAAUGCCAAGUCAGCGGUAAAAUCGCGGGGCUCAACCUCGCUCCGCCGUUGAAACUGGCGUUCUUGAGUGGGCGAGAAGUAUGCGGAAUGCGUGGUGUAGCGGUGAAAUGCAUAGAUAUCACGCAGAACUCCGAUUGCGAAGGCAGCAUACCGGCGCCCAACUGACGCUGAAGCACGAAAGCGUGGGUAUCGAACAGGAUUAGAUACCCCAGUAGUC